CAAAGCAUAGUUCAAAGUAGAACACUUCUUUUACACGGAAGAAGUACUCGUUCGACCCGAGUUGCCUUGA
Molecule: transfer RNA, 70 nt
Filed under: Epinephelus epistictus (dotted grouper)
Lineage: Eukaryota; Metazoa; Chordata; Actinopteri; Perciformes; Serranidae
Description: tRNA-Val
Rfam family: tRNA
About the family: Transfer RNA (tRNA) molecules are approximately 80 nucleotides in length. Their secondary structure includes four short double-helical elements and three loops (D, anti-codon, and T loops). Further hydrogen bonds mediate the characteristic L-shaped molecular structure. tRNAs have two regions of fundamental functional importance: the anti-codon, which is responsible for specific mRNA codon recognition, and the 3' end, to which the tRNAs corresponding amino acid is attached (by aminoacyl-tRNA synthetases). tRNAs cope with the degeneracy of the genetic code in two manners: having more than one tRNA (with a specific anti-codon) for a particular amino acid; and 'wobble' base-pairing, i.e. permitting non-standard base-pairing at the 3rd anti-codon position.
Source: RNAcentral